CCUACGGGAGGCUGCAGUCGAGAAUCAUUCACAAUGGGGGAAACCCUGAUGGUGCGACGCCGCGUGGGGGAAUGAAGGUCUUCGGAUUGUAAACCCCUGUCAUGUGGGAGCAAAUUAAAAAGAUAGUACCACAAGAGGAAGAGACGGCUAACUCUGUGCCAGCAGCCGCGGUAAUACAGAGGUCUCAAGCGUUGUUCGGAAUCACUGGGCGUAAAGCGUGCGUAGGCUGUUUCGUAAGUCGUGUGUGAAAGGCGCGGGCUCAACCCGCGGACGGCACAUGAUACUGCGAGACUAGAGUAAGGGAGGGGGAACCGGAAUUCUCGGUGUAGCAGUGAAAUGCGUAGAUAUCGAGAGGAACACUCGUGGCGAAGGCGGGUUCCUGGACAGUAACUGACGCUGAGGCACGAAGGCCAGGGGAGCGAAAGGGAUUAGAUACCCGUGUAGUC
Molecule: ribosomal RNA, 446 nt
Filed under: uncultured bacterium
Lineage: Bacteria
Description: partial 16S ribosomal RNA
Rfam family: Bacterial small subunit ribosomal RNA
Source: RNAcentral